UGGGCAGCCAGAAUUGGAGGACGCUAUCUAAAGGUGACUCCAGAUACAGAGUUGUAAAACUCGGGGUCCCUGAGCAUGACCAUGGGUUAGGUAAAUCGACGUUGCUUUGGAGAAGGAAGCCCGUGGAGUUCAAGAAUCAUUCCAGCAGGCCGGUGAGAAGGCUCAGUGGCCCAGCCCACUCCGCUGGCCGCCUUCCGGCUACCUGCCUCUCACCACUCCAGGAUCGCUCAUUCGCAACAACAGCUUCCAUUGUCGGCCACAUCUGGGACUUCGGGGUUUUAAGCGAAGCUCCCUAAGGCAGAGGACAGAAAAUGCUGCUAUUUUGGUAAAUUUGACUGACCUCCUCACCCACCUACCUGCGCGCGCAUUAGCUUGUGAGCGUCUGGUGCACCUCUUUGCAUUCUCCGAAGCUCCUCUACUUGGAUGGAUGGCAGGCCCACGAAUAGGCGCUCAAUAAGUAAGUAAUACCGGGUUGGGAAUUCCUGGCUAAGGCUUUCUGGUGAAAAGAAGUGUCGGGAUUGGUGGUUGGGGGACUAAGGAAAGCCAAUGAUGAGACAGGACAGCAUAUAAAUGUCCGUGUGUGCACAAAGGGCCAAGAGAAGGUUGAGAAGUUUGUGCUUCUAGGAAGCAGCGCAAGGCUGAUCUCCGUGGAUCCACAUUCAGUAGUCGCUGGAUUUUUGAGCAAAAGGCUUCCAGCUAAGCCGGGUUCCUGCUGCUUGGAGCCCGGUCGAAGGGCUGCAAUCUGUGCCAGCGUUUGGCUCGGAUCUACUGCACGGCACUGCCCUCCUCUGGACACAGAGCCAAGGCUCGCUAAGUCCUGCUGCUCUGGGGCCUCUCUCAGGUUUCCUUCCCUCUUUCCUCGGGACAACAGUGUCCCGGACAAACAGGUUUUUCAGUUUGGCUUCUCAUGGCAGGUGUUUACCCGGCCUGCCUGGCUUUGAAUCCAUGAAACCUGGGAAGGUGGAAGAACAAAGUCUUCCUUGACUGCUGCUGGCACACAGUGGGCUCUAUAAAUAUUUAAUUCCGGAAAAUAAACAUAGCCACACACAUUCUUGGCAUGCCGGCUGCACUUGGGACUAUUGUAAUGCCCAUUAGGGGAAGAAUUCACUGAAGUAUCCACACCUGUUCUUAGUCUAGGACAG
Molecule: long non-coding RNA, 1142 nt
Organism: Peromyscus eremicus (cactus mouse)
Lineage: Eukaryota; Metazoa; Chordata; Mammalia; Rodentia; Cricetidae
Exons: 3
Source: RefSeq, a predicted model, not a curated record